CUUGAUGGAGCCGAGCAGCAGGGGCUGUCCUUCGGGCCGCUCCUGGCCGUAGGUGGCGAGCAGCGCCUGCGCCUC
RNAcentral lists this antisense RNA (75 nucleotides) under Streptomyces melanosporofaciens. RNAcentral's name for it is "ASpks TB sRNA". It matches the Rfam family "ASpks TB sRNA". The record is from RNAcentral. Lineage: Bacteria; Bacillati; Actinomycetota; Actinomycetes; Kitasatosporales; Streptomycetaceae.